AACAGCCGAGUUUGUUACAAAUAUUCAACUAUAUAGGUAUAACAUAUUAUACACAAGAGAAGCAUAUUAUGUGCCGUGCGAGGACCAGUUUUCUCCGAACGAUCAGAUAAUCCGGCCGAUGAAGUGGGAGUGGUGAACUAUUGGAUAACAAAAUGCGUAGUAUUUUAUUUUUGAAUAUCGCCUUGUGUUUUUUUGCCGCCUGUCAUUAGUGUAUGUUAGUCUCCGAGCCGCUCUGAACAUAAUACGAAC
This is a non-coding RNA of Cinara cedri, 249 nucleotides long. The record is from the annotation of a GenBank genome assembly. NCBI's taxonomy places the organism in Eukaryota, Metazoa, Arthropoda, Insecta, Hemiptera, Aphididae.